Molecule: long non-coding RNA, 205 nt
Filed under: Helianthus annuus (common sunflower)
Lineage: Eukaryota; Viridiplantae; Streptophyta; Magnoliopsida; Asterales; Asteraceae
Description: sRNA HanXRQr2_Chr13g0597441
Source: RNAcentral
GUCAAAAACAAGUUAAGCUUAAACCCAAAAGUAAAGUUAAAAUAUGAAUUAUCAAGUAGUAAUAAAUAAUAGGUGACUUUCAUUUACAUACAAAUGCAAUUAAAUACAUAAAUAUAAGGCUUAACAAAUAAAGUUUCGUACAAGAAGAGAUGACAUCAAAGUAAUCUAUACUCACACUAGUCACUGGUGAAAUUCACCUUUAACA